GGUUCAUACAAUACCCUGAGCUCAGGAAUACUCCUGCUUCUGAGGCCAGCGGUGAUUCAGCAAUUGCCAGCAGAUGAUCAAAUGUGCCUUUAAACCAACGCUGCUGACGUUCCAGAGGAACACCUGGUGCAUGCACAGGUAACAGUCCUUCCUACCUGGAAUCUCCUUGGGCAGAAGGAUCCCAGCAGCUAUAUCACUGGUGGUGUCUGGAGAGAAUUUCUCAGCCAGUAUGGUGACGGUGCAGAAGGGCAAAGCCUCAGCUAUACACACUGCUGUAGACAUCCCAACCACACCUGCUCCAAUUACAACAACUUUCACCUUCUUCAUUCUGGAGUAUUACUGCAACAAUGGAUAAAAUGCCAAAGGAACCAAGUUAUAUAUGAGCCCUGGCAAGCCAACCCAUUCUCUAGUGGCCUCAUUCAGACUCAUAAACUAGAACAUGUUAAACUUUGAUACAUUAAAAAGUGUCUAUACAAGACAAGUUAAUUUAUAAUCGAGGAUAGUUACAUUUAUAUCAAAGAGCAAAGAUCACUCUUUCUUGUCCAUGUGAGCAGUACUGAAAAACAAUUAUUACCAUUUUAGGUCAAGUUGCACAUUGUACAGUUAAGUUUCAACAGUUAAAAUAUAUGACAGAAAAAUGUAA
Molecule: long non-coding RNA, 643 nt
Organism: Pangasianodon hypophthalmus (striped catfish)
Lineage: Eukaryota; Metazoa; Chordata; Actinopteri; Siluriformes; Pangasiidae
Exons: 2
Source: RefSeq, a predicted model, not a curated record